Molecule: non-coding RNA, 1717 nt
Organism: Salmo salar (Atlantic salmon)
Lineage: Eukaryota; Metazoa; Chordata; Actinopteri; Salmoniformes; Salmonidae
Source: RefSeq, a predicted model, not a curated record
ACACAUUCCGGAGAAUGCCACGGUCUUGUGUAGUCUUUACUAUAAUUGUGUUUGAAAGAUAUAACCUUUGGGUGAAUGUCAUUUUCAUGUUAACAUGGGAUUUGAAUUCGGCCACCUGUAGCAUACAAUACUUUUGUUGCUAGCCGAUUCUCAAUCAAACUUUAAUCAUUCUAGCUAGUUUUUUUUUGUACUUCGGCGCACAGUUCUGACUAUGAUUGACAGCCAUGUAAACCAAUGACAGGACAGUAAAGUUUUGUGUACACUAUCGUUGGCAUGGUUACUCGUUGACAUUACAAGAUUCUGGAAAACGGAGGCGGGUCAGUAGUUAAGCACGGGUGGAUGCACUUUCUAGGUGUAUGGAUUUUUGACCAGCAAUUUACGGACAAUAAUUACAAAGUGACCCCUGCCUGACCUGUGACAAGUCACAUCAUCCUCAGAGAGUGGCACCAGCAUGGCAGGGCUGGCGUUGGAGUGGAGGGGCUGACGUCAUGCUCUCACCAUCCUGACAAAUCCCUCAGUACUAGAACGAGAGAGGGAGGAAAAGCCUUAGAGGGAGACAGACAGCCCUUGACAGUGGAACGAGAGAGAGAGAGAGGAUAGAGAAGAAGGGAAAAAGAAGGGAGGAGAGGAGAGGGAUUAAGCCUCAUCAAAAGAAACAACAGUUCUCUUUUACAAUACAUCUCAUUGACUUACCAUGCCAGUAAAGCUCAUUGAAUGGAACUGAGAGUACAAAAGUCACAUCAGUCUUUUCAACCACUCUCCUCUUUCCUGGUUGUUGUUGUAGGCCCAAAUUACAAUAUGAUCUCAGUCAACUUACCUGGUAACAUAAGGGUUAGAUAAAUAACAUCAGUCAACUUACCUGGUAACAUAAGGGUUGGAUAAAUAACAUCAGUCAACUUACCUGGUAACAUAAGGGUUGGAUAAAUGACAUCAGUCAACUUACCUGGUAACAUAAGGGUUGGAUAAAUAACAUCAGUCAACUUACCUGGUAACAUAAGGGUUAGAUAAAUGACAUCAGUCAACUUACCUGGUAACAUAAGGGUUGGAUAAAUAACAUCAGUCAACUUACCUGGUAACAUAAGGGUUGGAUAAAUAACAUCAGUCAACUUACCUGGUAACAUAAGGGUUAGAUAAAUAACAUCAGUCAACUUACCUGGUAGCAUAAGGGUUGGAUAAAUAACAUCAGUCAACUUACCUGGUAACAUAAGGGUUAGAUAAAUAACAUCAGUCAACUUACCUGGUAACAUAAGGGUUGGAUAAAUAACAUCAGUCAACUUACCUGGUAACAUAAGGGUUGGAUAAAUAACAUCAGUCAACUUACCUGGUAACAUAAGGGUUGGAUAAAUAACAUGUCAACUUACCUGGUAACAUAAGGGUUGGAUAAAUAACAUCAGCCAACUUACCUGGUAACAUAAUGGUUAGAUAAAUAACAUCAGUCAACUUACCUGGUAACAUAAGGGUUGGAUAAAUAACAUCAGUCAACUUACCUGGUAACAUAAGGGUUAGAUAAAUAACAUCAGUCAACUUACCUGGUAACAUAAGGGUUGGAUAAAUAACAUCAGUCAACUUACCUGGUAACAUAAGGGUUGGAUAAAUAACAUCAGUCAACUUACCUGGUAGCAUAAGGGUUGGAUAAAUAACAUCAGUCAACUUACCUGGUAACAUAAGGGUUAGAUAAAUAACAUCAGUCAACUUACCUGGUAACAUAAGGGUUGGA